This 305-nucleotide ribosomal RNA is filed under the name uncultured bacterium. RNAcentral's name for it is "bacterial SSU rRNA". It matches the Rfam family "Bacterial small subunit ribosomal RNA", at positions 335 to 661 of the family's 1533-position model. The record is from RNAcentral.
GCCCUAUGGGACGCAGCAGGGAAUAUUGCUCAAUGGGGGAAACCCUGAAGCAGCAACGCCGCGUGGAGGAUGAAGGUUUUCGGAUUGUAAACUCCUUUUGUUAGAGAAGAUAAUGACGGUAUCUAACGAAUAAGCACCGGCUAACUCCGUGCCAGCAGCCGCGGUAAUACGGAGGGUGCAAGCGUUACUCGGAAUCACUGGGCGUAAAGAGCGCGUAGGCGGGAUAGCAAGUCAGAUGUGAAAUCCUAUGGCUUAACCAUAGAACUGCAUUUGAAACUGUUAUUCUAGAGUAUGGGAGAGGUAGG